GGAAGUAAAAGUCGUAACAGGGUCUCCGUUGGUGAACCAGCGGAGGGAUCAUUACCGAGUUUACAACUCCCAAACCCCUGUGAACAUACCUAUCGUUGCUUCGGCGGAACGCCCCGGCGCACUCGCUGCCCGGGCUCAGGCGCCCGCCGGAGACCACAAACUCUUGUCUUUUUACGUAUUCUGAGUGGCAUAAAGCAAAAAUGAAUCAAAACUUUCAACAACGGAUCUCUUGGUUCUG
RNAcentral lists this unclassified non-coding RNA (238 nucleotides) under plant metagenome. Its description in RNAcentral is "partial contains small subunit ribosomal RNA, internal transcribed spacer 1, and 5.8S ribosomal RNA". The stretch from base 1 to 54 matches the Rfam family "Eukaryotic small subunit ribosomal RNA", at positions 1778 to 1831 of the family's 1831-position model. The record is from RNAcentral.